RNAcentral lists this long non-coding RNA (255 nucleotides) under Nicotiana benthamiana. Its description in RNAcentral is "long non-coding RNA (NBEN_LNC014159)". The record is from RNAcentral. Lineage: Eukaryota; Viridiplantae; Streptophyta; Magnoliopsida; Solanales; Solanaceae.
UCCCCUCCCAGAUCCAUAUAUAUGUCCAAACGCGUGUGUAUAACUGAGACACCAAAAGACCUUCUUCCUCGUACCUACCUUCACCGGUGUAACACCACCCCUCAACCACCAUAACUCUGUCGUCCACUACCCUAACGUCGCCGCGGGAAAUAGCCUCAAGACGGAGGCCGGCCACCAAAUGGCAACAAAUUUACACUACCGAACCCUCGCAGCCUCCUCUUUCCCAUCCGACCAUCAGAUCGCCUCAAAUAUCUC